GCUAAGGUAGCGUAGUCAGUAGUCUUUUAAAUGGAGGCUUGUAUGAACGGCUGGAUGAGGGACAUUCUGUCUUUUUUUUAUUUAAAGAAUUUAACUUUUAAGUGAAAAGGCUUAAAUUUUUUGGGGGGACGAUAAGACCCUAUAAAACUUUAUACAUUCUGUUCUUGGUUGGUAAUUGUGUUUAACUCGGCUUUGUGCGGUUUGUGUUCCGUUGGGGAAACGUUGAUAUAAGUUGUAAUUGUUUAUAAAAAUUUUAUAGUUAUUGCUAGAUUUUGAUCCUUUAUUAUGGAUUAUAAGUCUAAGUUACUUUAGGGAUAACAGCGUAAUUUUCUUUGAGAGUUCUUAUCGACAAGAUUAGUUGCGACCUCGAUGUUGAAUUAAAAUUUUAGGUUGGUGUAGUAGCUGACUUUAUAGGUCUGUUCGACCUUUAAAAUUUUACAUGAUUUGAGUUCAAACCGGUGUGAGCCAGG
Molecule: ribosomal RNA, 470 nt
Filed under: Periclimenaeus colodactylus
Lineage: Eukaryota; Metazoa; Arthropoda; Malacostraca; Decapoda; Palaemonidae
Description: partial large subunit ribosomal RNA
Rfam family: Bacterial large subunit ribosomal RNA
Source: RNAcentral